RNAcentral lists this ribosomal RNA (450 nucleotides) under uncultured bacterium. RNAcentral's name for it is "partial 16S ribosomal RNA". It matches the Rfam family "Bacterial small subunit ribosomal RNA", at positions 29 to 523 of the family's 1533-position model. The record is from RNAcentral.
AACGAACGCUGGCGGCAGGCCUAACACAUGCAAGUCGAACGGUUGUAGCAAUACAGCAGUGGCGCACGGGUGAGUAACGCGUGGGAACGUGCCCUUCAGUACGGAAUAACAGUUGGAAACGACUGCUAAUACCGUAUAUUCCCUCCGGGGGAAAGAUUUAUCGCUGAAGGAUCGGCCCGCGUAAGAUUAGGUAGUUGGUGGGGUAAUGGCCUACCAAGCCUACGAUCUUUAGCUGGUCUGAGAGGAUGAUCAGCCACACUGGAACUGAGACACGGUCCAGACUCCUACGGGAGGCAGCAGUGGGGAAUAUUGGACAAUGGGCGAAAGCCUGAUCCAGCCAUGCCGCGUGAGUGAUAAGGCCUUAGGGUUGUAAAGCUCUUUCGCCGAUGAAGAUAAUGACGGUAGUCGGAGAAGAAGCCCCGGCUAACCUCGUGCCAGCCGCCGCCGUAA